AGAGUUUGAUCAUGGCUCAGGAUGAACGCUAGCGGCAGGCCUAACACAUGCAAGUCGAGGGGUAGCAGGGUAGCAAUAUCGCUGACGACCGGCGCACGGGUGAGUAACGCGUAUGCAACCUUCCUUUAACUGGGGGAUAGCCCGGAGAAAUUCGGAUUAAUACCCCAUAACAUUGCGGAGAGGCAUCUUUCUGCAAUUAAAGCUCCGGCGGUUAAAGAUGGGCAUGCGUGCCAUUAGCUAGUUGGUGAGGUAACGGCUCACCAAGGCUACGAUGGCUAGGGGGUCUGAGAGGAUGAUCCCCCACACUGGUACUGAGACACGGACCAGACUCCUACGGGAGGCAGCAGUGAGGAAUAUUGGGCAAUGGGCGCAAGCCUGACCCAGCCAUGCCGCGUGAAGGAUGAAUGCCCUAUGGGUUGUAAACUUCUUUUGUACGGGACGAAACUUCCGGUCGUGACCGGGAUUGACUGUACCGUGCGAAUAAGCAUCGGCUAACUCCGUGCCAGCAGCCGCGGUAAUACGGAGGAUGCAAGCGUUAUCCGGAUUCAUUGGGUUUAAAGGGUGCGUAGGCGGAAUAAUAAGUCAGUGGUGAAAGCCUGCGGCUUAACCGUAGAAUUGCCAUUGAUACUGUUAUUCUUGAGUAUAGUUGAAGUGGGCGGAAUGUGUAAUGUAGCGGUGAAAUGCUUAGAUAUUACACAGAACACCAAUUGCGAAGGCAGCUCACUAAGCUGUUACUGACGCUGAGGCACGAAAGCGUGGGGAGCAAAC
RNAcentral lists this ribosomal RNA (768 nucleotides) under uncultured bacterium. RNAcentral describes it as "bacterial SSU rRNA". It matches the Rfam family "Bacterial small subunit ribosomal RNA", at positions 8 to 773 of the family's 1533-position model. The record is from RNAcentral.